UACGUAGGCAGCGAGCGUUGUUCGGAGUUACUGGGCGUAAAGAGUGCGUAGGCGGUUUUCUAAGUUUGGUGUGGAAUCUCCCGGCUUAACUGGGAGGGUGCGCCGAAAACUGGAAGGCUUGAGUAUGGGAGAGGUAAGCGGAAUUCCUGGUGUAGCGGUGAAAUGCGUAGAUAUCAGGAGGAACACCGGUGGCGAAGGCGGCAUCCUGGACCGACACUGACACUGAGGAGCGAAAGCCAGGGGAGCAAACGGG
This 253-nucleotide ribosomal RNA is filed under the name uncultured bacterium. RNAcentral describes it as "partial 16S ribosomal RNA". It matches the Rfam family "Bacterial small subunit ribosomal RNA", at positions 524 to 776 of the family's 1533-position model. The record is from RNAcentral.